Molecule: transfer RNA, 62 nt
Filed under: Ostrea lurida
Lineage: Eukaryota; Metazoa; Mollusca; Bivalvia; Ostreida; Ostreidae
Description: tRNA-Cys
Source: RNAcentral
CGUGGGGUAGUUUAAUAUAAAACAAAGGAUUGCAAAUCCUUAAAUGCUAAUAGCUCUCAUGU